This 497-nucleotide ribosomal RNA is filed under the name uncultured bacterium. RNAcentral describes it as "partial 16S ribosomal RNA". It matches the Rfam family "Bacterial small subunit ribosomal RNA", at positions 28 to 507 of the family's 1533-position model. The record is from RNAcentral.
GAUGAACGCUGGCGGCGUGCCUAAUACAUGCAAGUCGAGCGAACAGACGAGGAGCUUGCUCCUCUGACGUUAGCGGCGGACGGGUGAGUAACACGUGGAUAACCUACCUAUAAGACUGGGAUAACUUCGGGAAACCGGAGCUAAUACCGGAUAAUAUAUUGAACCGCAUGGUUCAAUAGUGAAAGACGGUUUUGCUGUCACUUAUAGAUAGAUCCGCGCCGCAUUAGCUAGUUGGUAAGGUAACGGCUUACCAAGGCAACGAUGCGUAGCCGACCUGAGAGGGUGAUCGGCCACACUGGAACUGAGACACGGUCCAGACUCCUACGGGAGGCAGCAGUAGGGAAUCUUCCGCAAUGGGCGAAAGCUUGACGGAGCAACGCCGCGUGAGUGAUGAAGGUCUUCGGAUCGUAAAACUCUGUAAUUAGGGAAGAACAAAUGUGUAAGUAACUAUGCACGUCUUGACGGUACCUAAUCAGAAAGCCACGGCUAACUACGUG